GACGAACGCUGGCGGCGUGCUUAACACAUGCAAGUCGAACGGAAAGGCCCCUUUGGGGGUACUCGAGUGGCGAACGGGUGAGUAACACGUGAGUAACCUGCCCUUGACUUCGGGAUAACUUCAGGAAACUGGGGCUAAUACCGGAUAGGAAUCCUUGCUGCAUGGUGGGGGUUGGAAAGCUUCGGCGGUUUUGGAUGGACUCGCGGCUUAUCAGCUUGUUGGUGGGGUAGUGGCUUACCAAGGCUUUGACGGGUAGCCGGCCUGAGAGGGCGACCGGCCACAUUGGGACUGAGAUACGGCCCAGACGCCUACGGGAGGAAGCAGUGGGGAAUAUUGCACAAUGGGCGGAAGCCUGAUGAAGCAACGCCGCGUGCGGGAGGACGGCCUUCGGGUUGUAAACCGCUUUCAGCAGGGGCGAAGCUUGUGGUGACGGUACCUGCAGAAGAAGCACCGGCUAACUACGUG
This 465-nucleotide ribosomal RNA is filed under the name uncultured bacterium. RNAcentral's name for it is "partial 16S ribosomal RNA". It matches the Rfam family "Bacterial small subunit ribosomal RNA", at positions 28 to 507 of the family's 1533-position model. The record is from RNAcentral.